GGCAGUGUGGCCCAGUGGGUGGGGAACUAGGUUGGGAAUCUGGACAUUUGGGUUCAGUUCCUAGAUCUGCUG
This 72-nucleotide transfer RNA is filed under the name Chelonia mydas (Green sea turtle). It matches the Rfam family "tRNA". Rfam says of the family: Transfer RNA (tRNA) molecules are approximately 80 nucleotides in length. Lineage: Eukaryota; Metazoa; Chordata; Testudines; Cheloniidae. The record is from Rfam by way of RNAcentral.